RNAcentral lists this ribosomal RNA (632 nucleotides) under uncultured Tomentella. RNAcentral describes it as "eukaryotic LSU rRNA". The stretch from base 248 to 402 matches the Rfam family "5.8S ribosomal RNA". The record is from RNAcentral. Lineage: Eukaryota; Fungi; Basidiomycota; Agaricomycetes; Thelephorales; Thelephoraceae.
AAGUCGUAACAAGGUUUCCGUAGGUGAACCUGCGGAAGGAUCAUUACCGAAUUGUCAACACGAGUUGUUGCUGGUCCUCAAAACGGGGGCAUGUGCACGCUCUGUUCACACAUCCACUCACACCUGUGCACCCUCUGUAGUUCUGUGGCAUGGGGGACUCUGUCCUCCUGUUGUGGUCCUACGUCUUUACACACACUCUGUAAUAAAGUCUCAUGGAAUGCAUGACGCGUUUAACGCAAUACAAUACAACUUUCAGCAACGGAUCUCUUGGCUCUCGCAUCGAUGAAGAACGCAGCGAAAUGCGAUAAGUAAUGUGAAUUGCAGAAUUCAGUGAAUCAUCGAAUCUUUGAACGCACCUUGCGCCCUUUGGCUAUUCCGAAGGGCAUGCCUGUUUGAGUAUCAUGAACACCUCAACUCUCAUGGUUUGCCGUGAUGAGCUUGGACUUUGGAGGUCUUGCUGGCCUGUGGUCGGCUCCUCUCAAAUGGAUCAGCUUGCCAGUGUUUGGUGGCAUCAUGGGUGUGAUAACUAUCUACGCCUGUGGUUUUCUGCCAGAUAACCUUCAGUGAUGGAGGUACGCUGGAGCUCAUAAAUGUCUCUCCUCAGUGAAGACAGCUUUUUGAACGUUGAUCUC